Long non-coding RNA from Marmota flaviventris (yellow-bellied marmot), 630 nucleotides. RefSeq lists it as uncharacterized. The record is from RefSeq and is a predicted model, not a curated record. NCBI's taxonomy places the organism in Eukaryota, Metazoa, Chordata, Mammalia, Rodentia, Sciuridae.
GUUUAACUCUGCCGGGAUGCGCCGACCUGUGCUCGGCGUUGAGUGGCUACAGCAGCAGUCACUCCGAACGCUUUUGUUCCUAGAGGGCCCGCCUACUCUAGCAAGACUGGUUGAGACGGCGGAACGCAGCGCGCCUUUCCCGGGAACCCAGUGCCAGGAAGCACCAGCCAGGACCCCAGGAAUCAUUUACUGGCAUACCCAAUGGAGGCUGCUAUUGCAAAACUUUAUGUCCUUCAUACCACUAGCAAAUUCCUGCCACCAAACUGCUCAGGGAACUAUGGACUUGGUGUAGGAGUGUCUUCAUUUUCAUGCCUUCAAUUUUUCCCUGCAGGCUCUCAUUAUGCGGCCCAGGCUGCCUUUGAACUCCUAGGCUCAAGUGAUCCUUCUCAUGAAUAAUUCAGGUUGAGCACAUCAAAAUCUGAUACACACAGAUACCACAUAAUAAAUAUCUCUGGAAUGAAUGAGGGAAAGAUGUGAGGAAAUGUUUACAGUCUCAGCUGUGGUCUGGACAAUAUUAAUAGUGAUCCUAUAUAAUUGCUUACCAUACAAAACCCUGUGAAGUAGCUAGGCAUGAUGGAGCACGCCUAUAAUCCCAGCGGCUCGGGAGGCUAAAGCAGGAAGAUCACAGAU